RNAcentral lists this unclassified non-coding RNA (605 nucleotides) under Hevea brasiliensis (rubber tree). The record is from RNAcentral. Lineage: Eukaryota; Viridiplantae; Streptophyta; Magnoliopsida; Malpighiales; Euphorbiaceae.
AAUGUGUUUAAAAAGUAGUUCAACUGCAAAGACAACACAUUUACCAAAAAUCUAUCAGAAAGAUCUGUGCAACAUCAAUCCCAAAAGAGUAGGUUUCGAUCCAAAAAUUAGACCAUUGUGCAUUUGGAAGAUUAUGUUGCACCAUAGGUCUCUUUCAAGAAUGAAUACAAGUGAAGUUAGAACAUGGGAGUGUUAAAACCCUACACAGAAGAAAUGUCGGAUGAAAAAUCAUAUGCCAAAAGAAAAAAAAAUCUAGUGUCUAUAUUCCAAAAUGUAAACUCUAAAGAAAGCAAGUAAAUAAUCUGUAAGAAAGCAACUAAACAUAUUGCAGAAUCUAUCAGCACAACCUUUGAUUCGAAAGUUAUGUCUCACUAUCCUCAAUCUUGGUUAAGAUAUUUGAGGAGGAUGGACAAUGCAAUUAUGAUAAAGCAGGUUUCCACAGGCCACAAGGAAAAAAGGGGGAGCCAGUCUCAACAGGUAUAUUUAAUUUCUUAGUUUUACAUAUCUAAAUCUGCCACUAUAUUGACAUUCAUUCAAAAAGAAAAGCACAUUUUUUAUAAAUGUAGAAGAGAAAACAAGACACAUACCCCUCCAUAUUUGCUGCG